Molecule: unclassified non-coding RNA, 228 nt
Filed under: Hevea brasiliensis (rubber tree)
Lineage: Eukaryota; Viridiplantae; Streptophyta; Magnoliopsida; Malpighiales; Euphorbiaceae
Source: RNAcentral
AAAAAAAAAAGAGAAAGAAAAAAAUAAAACCCUAGCCCUAAUUUAUACACAGAGAAUUACGAUACAAGAAGAAUAAGCUAAUCUACAUAAAGCGAUAGAUAAAUCAAAAUUGAAAACAGGGAACUGUGAAAAUCGAUACAUAAGAGAGAAAGGGGAGAAGGGAAGAGGCAGGGAAUAGAGAGUGAAGCUCGUUUUCAGACAACGAGCGCCGAUGAAUGGCAAGAGAGG